RNAcentral lists this ribosomal RNA (907 nucleotides) under uncultured bacterium. RNAcentral's name for it is "bacterial SSU rRNA". It matches the Rfam family "Bacterial small subunit ribosomal RNA", at positions 22 to 919 of the family's 1533-position model. The record is from RNAcentral.
GCUCAGGAUGAACGCUAGCUACAGGCUUAACACAUGCAAGUCGAGGGGAAACGACAUCGAAAGCUUGCUUUUGAUGGGCGUCGACCGGCGCACGGGUGAGUAACGCGUAUCCAACCUGCCCACCACUUGGGAAUAACCUUGCGAAAGUAAGACUAAUACCCAAUGACGUCUCUAGAAGACAUCUGAAAGAGAUUAAAGAUUUAUCGGUGAUGGAUGGGGAUGCGUCUGAUUAGCUUGUUGGCGGGGUAACGGCCCACCAAGGCUACGAUCAGUAGGGGUUCUGAGAGGAAGGUCCCCCACAUUGGAACUGAGACACGGUCCAAACUCCUACGGGAGGCAGCAGUGAGGAAUAUUGGUCAAUGGACGAGAGUCUGAACCAGCCAAGUAGCGUGCAGGAUGACGGCCCUAUGGGUUGUAAACUGCUUUUAUAAGGGAAUAAAGUGAGUCUCGUGAGACUUUUUGCAUGUACCUUAUGAAUAAGGACCGGCUAAUUCCGUGCCAGCAGCCGCGGUAAUACGGAAGGUCCGGGCGUUAUCCGGAUUUAUUGGGUUUAAAGGGAGCGUAGGCCGGAGAUUAAGCGUGUUGUGAAAUGUAGAUGCUCAACAUCUGCACUGCAGCGCGAACUGGUUUCCUUGAGUACGCACAAAGUGGGCGGAAUUCGUGGUGUAGCGGUGAAAUGCUUAGAUAUCACGAAGAACUCCGAUUGCGAAGGCAGCUCACUGGAGCGCAACUGACGCUGAAGCUCGAAAGUGCGGGUAUCGAACAGGAUUAGAUACCCUGGUAGUCCGCACGGUAAACGAUGGAUGCCCGCUGUUGGUCUGAAUAGGUCAGCGGCCAAGCGAAAGCAUUAAGCAUCCCACCUGGGGAGUACGCCGGCAACGGUGAAACUCAAAGGAAUUGACGGAAG